RNAcentral lists this ribosomal RNA (253 nucleotides) under uncultured bacterium. RNAcentral describes it as "partial 16S ribosomal RNA". It matches the Rfam family "Bacterial small subunit ribosomal RNA", at positions 524 to 776 of the family's 1533-position model. The record is from RNAcentral.
GACGAACUGUCCUACCGUUGUUCGGAAUCACUGGGCUUAAAGGGCGCGUAGGCGGUCCGACAAGUCAGGGGUGAAAUCCUGCAGCUUAACUGUAGAAGUGCCUUUGAUACUGUCGGUCUUGAGGGAAAUAGGGGUGUGCGGAACUUCCAGUGGAGCGGUGAAAUGCGUUGAUAUUGGAAGGAACGCCGGAGGCGAAAGCGGCGCACUGGAUUUCGUCUGACGCUGAGGCGCGAAAGCUAGGGGAGCAAACGGG